CUGUCAUCCAGAAAGGUGGAGGGACUGGCCCUGAGAAGCCUUGGCAACCGUCACGUUAUCGUGAGCGGUGCCAAUUCCAACCCGGACCGCAGGAACGGGACAAGAUGAUGG
Molecule: non-coding RNA, 111 nt
Filed under: Prosthecochloris sp.
Lineage: Bacteria; Pseudomonadati; Chlorobiota; Chlorobiia; Chlorobiales; Chlorobiaceae
Also listed under: 1 other name
Description: SAM-I sequence
Rfam family: SAM riboswitch aptamer (S box leader)
About the family: The SAM riboswitch is found upstream of a number of genes which code for proteins involved in methionine or cysteine biosynthesis in Gram-positive bacteria.
Source: RNAcentral